This 480-nucleotide ribosomal RNA is filed under the name uncultured bacterium. Its description in RNAcentral is "bacterial SSU rRNA". It matches the Rfam family "Bacterial small subunit ribosomal RNA", at positions 29 to 506 of the family's 1533-position model. The record is from RNAcentral.
UUGAACGCUGGCGGAAUGCUUUACACAUGCAAGUCGAGCGGCAGCGCGGGGCAACCUGGCGGCGAGCGGCGAACGGGUGAGUAAUGUAUCGGAACGUGCCCAGUCGUGGGGGAUAACACAGCGAAAGUUGUGCUAAUACCGCAUACGACCUGAGGGUGAAAGGGGGGGAUCGCAAGACCUCUCGCGAUUGGAGCGGCCGAUAUCGGAUUAGCUAGUUGGUGAGGUAAAGGCUCACCAAGGCGACGAUCCGUAGCGGGUCUGAGAGGACGACCCGCCACACUGGAACUGAGACACGGUCCAGACUCCUACGGGAGGCAGCAGUGGGGAAUUUUGGACAAUGGGCGCAAGCCUGAUCCAGCCAUUCCGCGUGAGUGAAGAAGGCCUUCGGGUUGUAAAGCUCUUUCGGCAGGAACGAAACGGCUUCUCCUAAUACGAGAGGCUAAUGACGGUACCUGAAGAAGAAGCACCGGCUAACUACGU